Molecule: non-coding RNA, 83 nt
Organism: Podarcis lilfordi (Lilford's wall lizard)
Lineage: Eukaryota; Metazoa; Chordata; Lepidosauria; Squamata; Lacertidae
Source: the annotation of a GenBank genome assembly
GACCAGAUUGUUUUCCUAUAAAAUGGUAUAAGAGCACAAGACUCUUAAUCUUAGGGUUGUGGGUUCGAAUCCCAUGUUGGGCA